AUCUCCUCGCAGGCGCCCUCUGUAUAAUCGCUUGCAAAUGAAAGCAUCGUAGUAUCUCCUCCUGUUCUUUCUUCGAGCAAACACAAUCCUGCGUUCUCGAAAUUGUUUGUAUUUUUAUGUCCUCACCAGUGCCAGAGAAGCCCCCGCAUCAGCAUCGCCGUCAAAUUUGCUGCACUGUGAAAUAACACAGGUUCCCACAGACGGUUCUUUUUUUCAUACAACCACGCCAGUAUAAGUCCCAUGAGCGCCGCAUAAAUCCCCUGCGCCCAGUUUCCAUGCACCAACCCGAAAAAUGCCGCCGACCCAAGUGCCGCCCAGAAAAAUGGGAGCGCCAUACGCAGGCGCUCAAAUAUAAUGCCGCGAAACAGCAGUUCUUCGGAAAGUGGGGCGGCAAUGCCCAUGAGAAAGAACUGCUGCCACAAGGCGCCGGAAAAUAAAGCGGCACUGCCCUUCGACGCACCUUUUCCCAGAGCUGCCGCAAGCAUAUCCCCCUGAGGCAUUUUCAAACACAGAGACACCGCUUCAGCUGCCUGCCCAGUCAUCCGAACCUUUUGCACUGCAAUAUGCAGCACUCCCAGGAAAAUCUCCUUUUUUUCUAAUGCCCAGAAAAUCAUGUUAAACACAGCACUGAACGCAGCUGCCCCCAGCAGGAUUUUCCACACAUCCGACACUUUUUCCCAGUGUGGAUAGGGGAGAAAUUCCAAUCGAACCCGGAGAUAGCUGGUUCUCCUCGAAAUAGCUUUAGGGCUAGCCUCGUAUUAGUUUAGCGGAGGUAGAGCACUGAAUUUCCUAGGGGGCGUCAAAGUCUACCGAAGAAUAUCAAACUCCGAAUGCCGCAUAAAUGAUGUACGGGAGUCAGACUGCACGAGAUAAGUUGGGUAGUCAAAAGGGAAAGAGCCCAGACCUACAGCUAAGGUCCCAAAGUGUGUGUUAAGUGGAAAAGGAUGUGGGAUUUCGAAGACAACUAGGAUGUUGGCUCAGAAGCAGCCACACAUUAAAAGAGUGCGUAAUAGCUCACUAGUCGAGAGGUCCUGCGCCGAAAAUGUCCGGGGCUGAAACACGACACCGAAGCUUAGGAACAGAAAUGUUGGUAGAGGAGCAUUGUUAGCGGAACGAAGCCAUACCGGAAGGAGUGGUGGACUGCUAAGAAGAGAGAAUGCCGGAAUGAGUAGCGAGAUUGAAGUGAGAAUCUUCAAGGCCGAAUAUCUAAGGUUUCCAGGGUAAAGCUGAUCUGCCCUGGGUAAGUCGGGGCCUAAGGCGAGGUCGAAAGACGUAGCCGAUGGACAACAGGUUGAAAUUCCUGUACUGCGAUAUAUCAGAAAUGUGGGGACACAGAAGGAAAGUGUGAGCCGGGAAAGGAAAGACCGGUGCAAGCACAGGAGGAGGGAUGCAGGCAAAUCCGUAUCCCAAUCCAAUGGUGUUACGCGGAGCGAACAAAAGUAGCGAAGCACACAGACCAUCUGUCGAGAAAAGCCGCUAUUGUGUAUACCGUACCCGUACCGUAAACCGACACAGGUGGAUGAGGAGAGAAUCCUAAGGCCGGCGGGAGAAGCAUUGUUAAGGAACUCGGCAAAAUGACCCCGUAACUUCGGGAGAAGGGGUGCUCACGCAAUUGAGCCGCAGAGAACUGGCCCAAGCAACUGUUUAGCAAAAACACAGGUCUAUGCGAAACCGAAAGGUGAGGUAUAUGGGCUGACGCCUGCCCGGUGCUGGAAGGUUAAGAGGAGAGGUUAGCGGUAACGCGAAGCUUUGAAUUUAAGCCCCAGUAAACGGCGGCCGUAACUAUAACGGUCCUAAGGUAGCGAAAUUCCUUGUCGG
This 1818-nucleotide ribosomal RNA is filed under the name human gut metagenome. RNAcentral's name for it is "bacterial LSU rRNA". The stretch from base 424 to 1818 matches the Rfam family "Bacterial large subunit ribosomal RNA", at positions 1 to 1975 of the family's 2925-position model. The record is from RNAcentral.